CAGUCGCCGCGGUAAUACGUAGGGGGCAAGCGUUGUCCGGAAUUAUUGGGCGUAAAGCGCGCGCAGGCGGUCAUUUAAGUCUGGUGUUUAAUCCCGGGGCUCAACCCCGGAUCGCACUGGAAACUGGGUGACUUGAGUGCAGAAGAGGAGAGUGGAAUUCCACGUGUAGCGGUGAAAUGCGUAGAUAUGUGGAGGAACACCAGUAGCGAAGGCGACUCUCUGGGCUGUAACUGACACUGAGAGAUGAAAGCUAGGGGAGCAAAUGGGAUUAGAUACCCCGGUAGUCCAUGUCUCUUAUACA
RNAcentral lists this ribosomal RNA (301 nucleotides) under uncultured bacterium. RNAcentral's name for it is "partial 16S ribosomal RNA". It matches the Rfam family "Bacterial small subunit ribosomal RNA", at positions 509 to 808 of the family's 1533-position model. The record is from RNAcentral.